Molecule: long non-coding RNA, 924 nt
Organism: Fopius arisanus
Lineage: Eukaryota; Metazoa; Arthropoda; Insecta; Hymenoptera; Braconidae
Exons: 3
Source: RefSeq, a predicted model, not a curated record
GAAAGCUACCUUGAAUGUCAUUAAACAAUGCAAGGAAAAUCUUUACUCACCGAAUCAUGCCAAUAGAAGCAUUUAUUUCUUGUGAUGGAUCUCUACAUUGGUUAUAGUGAGCCACAUAUAUCAAUAGGCUAGACUUCCGAAGGUCGACGAAAUAGUGAACUAUCUGAUAAUGGUUACAUAUCAUAGCUGCGUGAUAAAAUGAUGGUUCUUCGGAGCAUUUGAAUCAAAUACACAACCGAGCUACAAAAGUUUCCUUAGGGGAGAACGUUUAUUAGAUGCGCAACACUUCAUUCCCGGUCCCCCAAACCAGUGACAGUGACACUUACAUAUUAUUAGCAUUUUGUCUCCAAACUUCUCAUUUGAAAAAUGCACCCCAUGAAAUAAAUGGAGAAGUACUUAAAACUGGGCAUGUAAAGAGCAUGAAAUGCUCGUGCAAAGUUGGAAGUGGUGUCUGUAAACACGUGGCAGCUGUACUAUUAUGGUGCAAUUGACAUGACGUGGAAGGCUUGCCAAUUCUGACUUGCACGGAUAAGGAAUGUAUCUGGAAUACACCUCAAAAAUCAUCACUGCAAAAAUACGAUGCAAAUCCAUCAAUGGAGCAUGAGUGCUUUGUGGCCAGCAUGACCAAUCAAGAUCAACAGAUUCAGAAUGGCUCAACCAAACUACCUGGUGAGUAGGAUGGUAUUCAAGGACUGGACGAAUUCAAUUCUCCAGAAUUUCAAGACGAAUUAUUAACAAAAGUGAUGGUCAAAAACCGAAAUUCAGCGUUAGCACUACACGCGUAAUGAGACUGAUUUUCUUUCUGCGUUUGUGGUUAUUUUCGUCCAUUCUGAUCAUUUUGAGCGGUUUUUGUUGCAAUGAUAAUUGAUUUGAUCUUUUUUCUUUUAAUAUUUACACUCGAUCAGUUUUGAUUAUACCUAUUUU